Molecule: transfer RNA, 85 nt
Filed under: Saccharolobus sp. A20
Lineage: Archaea; Thermoproteati; Thermoproteota; Thermoprotei; Sulfolobales; Sulfolobaceae
Also listed under: 8 other names
Description: Sulfolobus sp. A20 tRNA-Ser
Rfam family: tRNA
About the family: Transfer RNA (tRNA) molecules are approximately 80 nucleotides in length. Their secondary structure includes four short double-helical elements and three loops (D, anti-codon, and T loops). Further hydrogen bonds mediate the characteristic L-shaped molecular structure. tRNAs have two regions of fundamental functional importance: the anti-codon, which is responsible for specific mRNA codon recognition, and the 3' end, to which the tRNAs corresponding amino acid is attached (by aminoacyl-tRNA synthetases). tRNAs cope with the degeneracy of the genetic code in two manners: having more than one tRNA (with a specific anti-codon) for a particular amino acid; and 'wobble' base-pairing, i.e. permitting non-standard base-pairing at the 3rd anti-codon position.
Source: RNAcentral
GCCGGGGUGCCCGAGCGGACUAAGGGGGUGGGCUCGAGACCCACUGCCUCUCUGAGGCGCACGGGUUCGAAUCCCGUCCCCGGCG